CCUACGGGCGGCAGCAGUAGGGAAUAUUGCUCAAUGGGGGAAACCCUGAAGCAGCAACGCCGCGUGGAGGAUGAAGGUUUUCGGAUUGUAAACUCCUUUUGUUAGAGAAGAUAAUGACGGUAUCUAACGAAUAAGCACCGGCUAACUCCGUGCCAGCAGCCGCGGUAAUACGGAGGGUGCAAGCGUUACUCGGAAUCACUGGGCGUAAAGGGCGCGUAGGCGGGAUAGCAAGUCAGAUGUGAAAUCCUAUGGCUUAACCAUAGAACUGCAUUUGAAACUGUUAGUCUAGAGUAUGGGAGAGGUAGGUGGAAUUCUUGGUGUAGGGGUAAAAUCCGUAGAGAUCAAGAGGAAUACUCAUUGCGAAGGCGACCUGCUAGAACAUAACUGACGCUGAUGCGCGAAAGCGUGGGGAGCAAACAGGAUUAGAUACCCCAGUAGUC
RNAcentral lists this ribosomal RNA (440 nucleotides) under uncultured bacterium. Its description in RNAcentral is "partial 16S ribosomal RNA". It matches the Rfam family "Bacterial small subunit ribosomal RNA", at positions 338 to 795 of the family's 1533-position model. The record is from RNAcentral.